GACAUUUAGUUGUUUUUGCUCAUACUAUAGUUUUAUUAACCUUAAUAUUAACAAAAGCAACGAAUUUUAAGCUAAUAUAAUGGAGGUAAUGUUUUGAAAUGUUUAAUUGUGCUUUACUCCUUCACUUUUGCAGUUAUAAGCUCUUAAUUCAUCCCACCCAAAGCAUCCAUCUACGCAGGAACUGUGGCGAGAAGAAGAUGGAUGAUGUUCAACAUGCAACCUAUGACUAUGCAGUGAGAAAAAACCUGUACGACAGGCUAUUGGUCUGUAAGAAGACUAUCUAUUCCAGUGGAGAAAAGCUACUUCUUUCGCCCUUGAUGUCCUUGACAGGCUUACCUGCCUUAGAUAUUUGCCAAAACUGA
Molecule: long non-coding RNA, 362 nt
Filed under: Callithrix jacchus (white-tufted-ear marmoset)
Lineage: Eukaryota; Metazoa; Chordata; Mammalia; Primates; Cebidae
Description: lncRNA (ENSCJAG00000083939.1)
Source: RNAcentral